GACGAACGCUGGCGGCGUGCCUAAUACAUGCAAGUCGUGCGAACCACUUCGGUGGUGAGCGGCGGACGGGUGAGUAACACGUGGGCAAUCUGCCCGACAGACCGGGAUAACGCUUGGAAACGAGUGCUAAUACCGGAUACGCUCUUGAAUCGCAUGGUUCGAGAGGGAAAGCUGCCUUUGCAGCACUGUCGGAUGAGCCCGCGGCGCAUUAGCUAGUUGGUGAGGUAACGGCUCACCAAGGCGACGAUGCGUAGCCGACCUGAGAGGGUGACCGGCCACACUGGGACUGAGACACGGCCCAGACUCCUACGGGAGGCAGCAGUAGGGAAUCUUCGGCAAUGGACGAAAGUCUGACCGAGCAACGCCGCGUGAGCGAUGAAGGCCUUCGGGUCGUAAAGCUCUGUUGUCAGAGAAGAACAAGUACCGGAGUAACUGCCGGUACCUUGACGGUACCUGACCAGAAAGCCACGGCUAACUACGUGCCAGCCGCCGCCGUAA
This 498-nucleotide ribosomal RNA is filed under the name uncultured bacterium. RNAcentral's name for it is "partial 16S ribosomal RNA". It matches the Rfam family "Bacterial small subunit ribosomal RNA", at positions 28 to 523 of the family's 1533-position model. The record is from RNAcentral.